Molecule: long non-coding RNA, 17538 nt
Filed under: Hordeum vulgare
Lineage: Eukaryota; Viridiplantae; Streptophyta; Magnoliopsida; Poales; Poaceae
Description: long non-coding RNA (HVUL_LNC008853)
Source: RNAcentral
GAACAUAUCAAACAUCUAUCUCCUUAUAUUUUUUCACAGGAUUUUUCAAAUAGACUUACAGAAGUUGAUGAUGAUAAACAUUAUCAAUGACAAACCAACUCGAAAGAGUUUUUAUCAAGAUGUUGAUAUUAGGUGAACAAAUAUAACUAUGUAACUUGUCAUCAUCAAUAGAUAGAUUUUUUUUUUUAUCUCAAACACAGAUAACGAAACGCAAUUUCCCUUUUGAAACGGAAUUACGGAAACGCAUAUAUUUUCAUUCCACAAAACAGCAGACAGUACAACCACAACACGUGGACAUACAGGAUAUACAAAUUUAACAUAAAAUCUGUGACGCGCAGCUACGACAAAGACUCGCAGCCAGCUAAUUACGACUCUUUUCGACGCCCGGACGGCGGACGUGCGCGUCGCAAGCCGAUCAAUACCGGCGGGCUGCGCGCGCAGCCAUCCUCCCUUUGCCAUGGCCGCGGACGCAGGAGAACACCCUGAACGCGCGCGAGAGCGACCCGAUCUUGCUCUUGCUCUUCUUGGUCUUGGUCUUUUUGGUCUUGCCUCCGCGCGCCGGCCCGACCACGCGCCGCCACAGCGCCCCAAGCGACGUCGGCGCCCUCCUCCGGGCCGCCGGCCUCGUCGUCGCCGCCUUCUUCUUCCUCAUCCACAUCCUGCCGCCGGUCAGAGGUAACAACGCCAAAGCUUCUUUGAGGCGAUGAGAACAAGCAGAUGGGGAGGCGAUGUCGUGUGCUGUUAACUUUAGCACAUGGUCAUCAUUUUAUACCACGCUCGGACGGUGGGUGCGUCGCGCCACAUCACGUACGUGGCGUCCGGAUGGGACGGCUUGUCGGCGUGUGCGUGCAGCCGACUUGGUGGCACGUGCCCACUGCACGGCUAGGGGCUUCUGCGGAAUCCAUACACGAAGGCUUCUUGGAUGGUUGACAGUAUCGGUCAUGAUUGAUCCGUGCGUGUUGUCGACCGUGUGCCACGGGUGCUAGUUUACGUGGAUGCCGACAUGCGUAUGCGCUUUGGGCAGUUAGGUGUCCUUGCCACGUUCAUGGAUAUUCUUCUUUUUUUAUUAUUAUUAAUAUUAACGUUCAUGGAUAAGUAGACAAUGAUUCACUUCGUAGGCCAUAUUUUUGUAGUCGGUCCGCAGCUGUAUACGUGUCUAAAAGGGCUAUUACCAACUAGUAAAAGUGCCCGUGCGUUGCAACGGGCGAACACCAAAAACUCAUAAAAGUUAUAAUGUCCAAUAGAAAACAAUUCAAGUUCAUCAAAUUGCACCAAACUGAUGUAAAUGCUACAAAUAAUUUGGUUGAUGCAAAAGUGGAGGAUUAAAGUCUGGUUGAUGCAGUGUUAUAUUUAACAAUUGGACAUAACAAGAAGGGCCACAAAAUCUCUUGAACAGAAAAAAUACUGACAUAAACUUCUUUGUUCCUCCAGUAUGCUUGACAUUAGCUAAGUGUAUCUCCACAUCUUAGUUCCUAUGCCAACCAUGUACCAGAUUGGUAAAAUUUAAGCUAGCCAAGGAAUGAAAAGACAAAUAUGAUCAUUGUAGCCUACGGCAAUUCAUUGUGUUUCAAUAAAAGCCAUGGAAAAUAUAUGUAAAUGAAAACGAGCAAUACCCACCCAACUGGAAAUUGCUGCCAAUUAAAGAAAAGAUUGUUUGUUAGCACUGAAGUAUCGAGUGAAAGGGAAACUAAGAAUAGUUCAAGUCUAACAGAAUAGCGAGAUAUUGGAACAAAAUUUAGGAAUAGUACAACUACUAUUUUAAAAACUGAACUAAGUUUUCUCUAUACGCAUAAAUCAUCAAUCAUAUGUUCACUUAUUAGUUGCCAAUUAAAGGUUGAACUUAGAAUUAUAGACCUUACAAUUACUCCCUAACAAGAAAAUGGAAAGCUAAAAACGAAUCCAACCAGGAUCUUUGUAUAUUGGCAUGACAUGCGCGGAGCACAAUGUUACUUUAUUUUUGCCACAUACCAAAUCUUAUGCCAAUAACUUAGUAACAGCAAGAUCAUUCUGAUAACCAGGUACAGAGCAUACUGAAUUUACCAGAUAAGAGUUAUCAACUCGCAGCUGAACACCUGAAGUAUUUUGAGCAGACAAGUUCUGUGAAGAGCGCUCCGUGGAAUAAUCAAUUGACGUACUUUCAGUAUGAAUUAGCUUCAAUUCAUCUCCAGAAUUAGAUAUUGUUUCAAAUCCAAUAGGAUAUGAUUCUACUAUUUCUUCUCUUGGUGAUACUUCAGACAUGGUAUCCAGAACCUCCAUACCAUCUUUCAAGAAGCUGCCCACCUUCCUGGAACAUGCAGAUUGGGAUUCUAUACCAUCUUUCAAGAAGCUGCCCACCUUCCUGGAACAUGCAGAUUGGGAUUCUAGGUCAGACUUAAGCAGAGAGCGCUUCUGCAGAGACGAAAAAUACACAUUGUAAAAAAAUACAUAUCAAUUUGACAACUACUACUGUAAAUAUUAACAGUGUACCGUUGCAUAUAUUGAAGAAAUUGUGAAGCUCUAUUUCAUCAAUAGAGAUCUUUCUCAUGCUGACUACGUGAUAUCAAUUGUGCCAUAACAUUAUUUAGUAACUAAUCAAAAAGUAUCAAAAGCUAGCUACCAAAGCAUCAGUAAACCAUUUCAGCCACAUAGAAUUAUUCCAGUCGAGAAAGGAGUUUGUGGACACAAAGAUGCACAUAUUAACUAAUUCAGGAUGAACGUGAUUGAGAUCUUUGCACGAAAGUUCUAACACUACCUCCAGUAUCUACUUUUUUCACUAAUCAAUAUGCUCAAACUGAGACCACAAUGUCCACCCAUUUCAUCCCAGUGCACUAAAUUAAGUUACCCAUUAUCUGAAUCGGCGCUGCAUAUUACCAUUUGCCUAACGCUCGCUGAUGAAGAGGGGGAAAUCAAGCUACUUCUCCGGCCACGUUGAGGCGACGGGUUCCCCUUCGUCCGGCUCCUCCUCCCCGAACGGCAGCAACGACGACGCGAUCUGGGAGAUUCACCUCACCCUACCCCCGAUCUCAGCCAGAUCGCUUCGGAUCCCCGCGAUCCCCGUAGAGUCAAACCUGGUUUUGUCCGGAACAAAUUAAGGCAAAACAAAGACAUAGCAUUGUCGGUCAUUGAAAUCACUAUCCCAAAAGACAGAGCUAGAUUUGUCGGCACCUUAUGAGCUUUGUUUUGAUGCCAGUUCAGAAUCGCUGAGAUUGAUGGUGUGGCUCGAGAGAAGCUGGAUGAUGGUGAAAGGACGGGCACCGACAUGGACAAACCGCUUGUCUUCCUUGACGAAAUCGAUGGCAUCAAACACCCUCUCGUCUUUCCCAUCACUGAUGCUGUGCUUCCAGAUAGAAGCAAAUUUACCAAAAUCUAGAGUGUGGUAGACGCAGUCUGCCUGAACGGAUGGAAACUUGGCGGCAUCACCAACCAGGCACUUUUGAUGACCGAUGAAGAUGGCAUACCUGCCCACGGUCUCCACAGGCGCAAGGACUUGUUUCUCUGUUGGUUCGAUGCCGAGAACCAGAACGCGUCGUUCUCCACCAAAGUUCAGUAGGAAACACCGGACGUCGCUGCGAUCUGCAAGAGGGUCGACACAGAAAAACUUGACGGAAUGCUCGCAUCCGAGCCGCUCCUACGCACCAGAGGGCCCGUCGUUGUCGGAUCUGUGCGGGGGCUUCUCCCGGAGCGGACGUCGCCGCGAUCUGCAAGAGGGUCGACAGAGAAAAACUUGAUGAAAUGGUCGCAUCUGAGCUGCUCCUAUGCACCAGAGGGCCCGCCGUUGUCGGAUCUGUGCGGGGGCUUCGCCCGGAGGACGCACACGGACGACAACGAGGGAGGAUGAGAAGGGGAGCAUCCGCUGCGCAGGCGAGAUGCGCCGGAGUGGUAGAGCUUGGUCAUGGGAGGGGAGCGACUCUGCCCAGGGGCUUUUUUACAAAAACAACGAAACGUUUUUUCCACUUACUAUAGGACUACGGGUUAAUUUGGAAGGAACAGAAGGACUUUACUGUAAAAACGCCAGCGACGGACGGCACAAGCGCUCCGCGCUUUAUUAUUAGGGGAGACUAGGGACAGAGUAGAUUACGACUGUCAACUUUGCCUUGUUACUUUUUUCUACUCCUCCUGUUUCUUGAUAUAACUAUUUUUAAAAUUUUUUUUACAGUGAGUAUUUUUAAAGAUUUUGAAUGGAUUACAUACUGAUGUAUAUAGAUAUAUUUUAGUGUGUAAAUUUAUUAUUUUAUUCCAUAUGUAAUCCAUUUUGAUAUAUUUUUAUAAAUACUAAUAAUUUAGAAAAGAGUACAUACCAAGUGGUAUCAACUCUUUCAGGGCAAAGUGACGGGGCGCGAUAAUAACCUAUGAUACCAUGCGGAAUAAAUAUUGGGCAAUGAGUCCUGCUGCACGUACGACAAAUUCCAUACGAUUUACAUACGACAGUCAGCAGUAGCCGUUCGUUGAACCACACGGACGAAUGGGAUCACAUCGUACGUACAUAAAUCGUACACACCUUCUGUCAUAUGCACAACAUUUUUGUUGGGCAAUUAUAACUAACGAACGUGGUCUUUUGUGGCCUUUCCAGCUAAGGUUGCAAUUUUCAUGCCAAGUAUGGUGACUUUUCUGUUUUUUCUUGUGCUACAUGACCAUUUUCGCCUCCUGUCAUGACAAAUUUUAUAAAGUUUUUUUUAAACACAAUACAGACACAACCUCUUUCAUAUACGUGCAUACACAGAUACAAUCAUCCUUAUAAACGCACAUAUAUAUAUAUAUAUAUCCUAUCGGAAAAAGUUUAUUUUUAAACCUUGGAUUUGUAGAGGUCGGAUGGAAUGACCCUUAAAUCAAAAUGCCGGUCGAGUAUAUCAUGAACUAUAUAAUCCCGGUCUAAAUCAAACAUUGAGAUUGUUUUAGUUUAAAAAAUACUGACGUGGCAAGGAUUCGUCUAAUGAACCGGCCCUGCUAUAGUUUUUGUGCAAAGGGCGUACAUCCUUCUCUCUACUGGACCGGCCACUGUACCGCGAAAAACCACCCAAAAAAUUGCGCAUCCCAGGAGUCAAACUCACGCCGUACAAAUCCUGCACUAGAACGGCUACCACUGUACCGUUCGAGUGCUAGUGAUUGAAUACAACACGCAUUAUUUAAGAACAUUUCUAGCCGCGUUAUUUGAAUUAAAACAAGUUCACUAAUUUUGAGAAAGAAAAAUCACUAAUUGAUCGGACCAGUUGACUGCUCAAUAUAUAUGUGUAUAUUUUUUGAAAAAUCAGGAAUUAAAAAUAUAAUUUUAAAAAAGUUCAUAGAUUAAAAAAGUCUGAUGAAAUAUUAAAAAAACUCACAAAAAUGGAAAAUUUUCAUUGAUAUUAAAGAAAAUCAUAGAUUUUAAGAAAAGUUCAUCUAUUUCAUAAACUUUAAAAAAAUAUACUCCCUCAAUCCGAAAAUACUUGUCCAAAAAUAUAUAAAAUGGAUGUAUCUAUAACUAAAAUAAGUCUAGAUACAUCUAUUUCUAAGACAAGCAUUUUCGGACGAACGAAGUAUUAAAAAGACUGCUCUCUUCGCUCAUCUGACAGUCAUGGGGUUUUCGGUGUGGCUACUCCAUUUGCUCACUAGGCGACCACCGCCUGGGCAUCCGCCAUGGGGUUUGGCCGCGACCUUGAGGAGCUGCAUGAUGCCAUCGGGCUCAAUAGGAAGCACCAACCCCGGGUGUGUGCGUGUCGUGAUCUGUGUUGCCGUGACAACGAGCAGCAUGCCACCUUCAGGCUCGAUGGGAAGCACUAGCACCUAUGCAUGCCACGAUUUGUGUCACAUGUGACGAGGAGCUCCACGCAGCCGUUGGGCUCGAUGGGAAGCACCAACGUGAGUUGCUCCUUCCGAACUGAGGUACUUGUUGAUGCCCCGGUACACCCUUCAACUUUUUUUGUCACCAUCCACAACCGAACAAUUUCUAUCUCCGUGAACUAUUUCCAAUUCCUGAGAAUAGGUUUUUGUUUUGGAAAAGGUCUGAGAAUAAGUUGAUGGGAGUAACUACAUAGCGAGUGCUUCUUCGGGAGCCUCCCAACGAUCGCUCCCACGCGUCGUUGCUUGACGCAUUCUCAGCCACCGUCACGUGUCGCGUUAUGAGCGUUUCCUUUGUAUUUUUUUUCUUUUUUUUAUACAUGUUUUCAACUUUUUAGAGUGUUUUUUCCGGGGUUUUUUCGCACAGCUGUGCCUCUCGGAAAGAGAAAAACACGUUUUCCGGUCUCUUUUUUCUGCGAGAGGUACGGUUUUGCUAUUGCAAGAGGCACGGGCGAGCCUCUCGAAAAGAAAAAACGCGUUUUCUGCUCUCUCUUUUUUCUGCGAGAGUCACAGUUUUGCUAUCGCGAGAGGCACGGCCGUGCCUCUCCGAAAGAAAAAAACACGUUUUCUGCGCUCUUUUUUUUUGCGAGAGGCACGAUUUUGCUUCCGCGAGAUCCAAGGUUUUGCUGCCACGAGGUCACGGCCAUGCCUCUUGAAAAGGGGAAAAACGCGUUUUCUGCUCUCUUUUUUUGCGAGAGGCACGGUUUUACUUCCGCGAGAGACACGGUUUUGCUAUCGCAAGAGGCACGCUCAGAAAGAAAAAAAUGUGUUUUAUGCUCUCUCUCUCUUUUUUUCGCAAGAGGCGCGUUUUGCUUCCGCGGGAGGCACGACCGUGCCUCUCGGAAAAGAAAAAAUGCCGGUUUUUUCGUCCGGUUUUUUUUAUGAAAAAAAGUUUGUCAAAACCUAUCAAUAUGGGAUCUAGUUUUAAAGAUCUCGACGCGAGAAACCGAACAGUGAAAACAGUUCAAGAUUAGAAUGCAUGGUUUAGAGAUAAAACGUUUUGAAAAUACGAUCUACGAAAAAGGAAAAACUCCCAGGUUGCGACGAGUGGCACACAUGUAGUACGCUAGUUGUCACAUUCUCGGGAAGUGGGAGUAAUCGUUGAAAGAUGUACUCGCUAACUAGUGAUUUUGUAGGUUGCUGGGCCUGAAGUGGUCAGCGAAUUAGGCGGGCCUAGACUUUUUCCCCGCACACACCGCAACCAACCCUGGUAAUUUGUCUGAAAAAAAAAUUCGGGCCAUCCUUUGCAAUCCCGGUUUGGUAAACAAUCCGAGGGUUUGAUUUAGACUGAGAUUGCAUAGUUCAGGGUGCAAUCGAUAGGGAUUUCGAUUUUAGGGUUCAUUUUGCCAAACCUCUACAAGUUCACGGUUUAAAAUGAACUUUUCCCUACCAUAUCCCUAUGAGCACCUUCGAAAGACUGAGCCGACAUAUUAUCUUGAAAUUCACGGAGUCACCGCAGGCACCUCGUCGUCGAUGGGAACGUCUCCUCCCACUCAAUGCGCAUCGUCGAGAAUCCUGAAAUAAAUCCAAAAAUAAAUGCGAACACCAGGACUUGAAUCCUGAUGGGCUAAGAAUACCGGAGUCCCUCUAACCAUCCAACCACAGAUCGGUUCACCAAAUCCUACAAAGUUACCAUGGCAACUUUAGCUGGUUUGUCAUGGCAAGUUUGAGAUUCGUAAGGAAAAAUGUAUCGAGGAAACGUUCCCUAGAUAUUGCAGUCUAUGCCAAUAUAAACAAAUAAUGAAAUAUUUUAUUAAUCAUUAUGAAAUCUUGUGGGUGACGUGGUUUCUGAAUUUUAUACGAACGUUCCUAAGGGGGGUGGAUAUCCUCUCAUCGCCUCGGAGCCCGGAUCUCACGACGACGGCCUCGGUUUGGCUGUGGCUGCGUGGCUUCACAACAUCUCUAGCAGACCCCGUAUAAUCGUCGAAACUGUAAAAUUCCGGCGACUAUACGGGUUUGGGUUGUUUUUCCUGCAGAGGAGAUACUCUAAACGCGGCCCGGCCCAUAAAACUUUUGCGGUGGCCCGUAAACGCGAGCGCUCGACCGCUAUAUCUGCGGGUUCGACCGCUGGAUGCAGGUCGAAACCCUAUCCCUCCGUCGCCGCGAAAAGUCCCCUCACCUCACCGUCGGCGCCUCCAUUCCGCCGUGUAGCCGCUCCAUUCCAUCGCCCUUGAUGUCCAACUCUGGUAACCAUAGGAACGAUGACCCCGAGAGGGCUCGUUGCGUCAGAUCCAACGCCGCCCGUAAGCGCGCCGCCCGCCGGUUCACGCAGUGGGGCCGGACGCCGCCGCCGUCGCUCCUCCGUCGCGAGACAGAAGAGUACGACCGCGCGCGCGGCCGCCUCUUCUUCAGCAGCUCCUUUGAGGCGUCGAGCUCGAGCUCGUGCUUCUCCCUCCCCCGGUGAAAAGGGAGCUCGAAGAGCUCCCGUCGGUGAAGAUGGAGACGGAGGCAGAGGCGGUGCCGGAGCGAUGUGCCGGGGCCGUCGUCGGACCAGAGGAUUUCCUCCCUUCGGCGGAGGCGGAUAGCCUUUUGCCCGUGCUGCUGGCACGGAGUGCACGAGAGGCGGAAGAGGACCAGCAGUGCCGCCGGAGGGAGGAGGUGAUCGACACCGUGUGUUGGGGAACGUAGCAAAAUUUCAAAAUUUUCCUACGCCAUACAUGGAUCUUCCUAUGAAGAAACCAGCAACGAGAGAGGGGUGAGCGCAUCUUCGUACCUUUGAAGGUUGCUAAGCGGUUCCUGGAACGCGGUUGAUGGAGUUGUACUCGCUGCGAUUCAGAUCGUGGUGUGAUUCCAAUCUAGUGCUGGACUACGGCACCUCCGCGUUCAACACACGUGCAACCCAGUGACAUCUCCCGCACGUUGAACCAGCAAAGAGGAGGGAGAGGUUGGGAAAGAACUCCGGCAGCACGACGGCGUGGUGGCGGUGGAGCUACGAGGUAUCCCGGCAGGGCUUCCCCAAGCACCGUGGGAGAGAAGGGAGAGGAGAAGUAGGGCUGCGCCGAGAGGGAAAGAAUUGCCUCCUCAAAAUAGCCAAAAGCCUCACUAUAUAUAGGGGAAAGGGGAGGGGCGCACCCUUUAGGGUUCCCACCCCCAAAGGGUGCGGCAGCCCUAGAUGGGAGGUGCAAGGCGGCGACCAUGGGAGGAGAGGGGGUGGCGCACCCCUAGGUGGGCCUUAGACCCACCAGCGUCUAGGGUUUCCCCUCCUUCCCCUCUUGUGCGCCUUAGGCUCGGUGUGGGGGGCGCACCAGCCCACCUAGGGGUUGGUUCCCUCUCACACUUGGCCCAUGAAGCCUCCCGGGGCUGGUGGCCCCUCCCGGUGGCCCCCCGGAACCCUUCCGGUGGUCCCGGCACGUUGCCGGUGGUGCCCGAAACAUUUUCCGCGUCCAAACCCAUCCAUCCUAUAUAUCAAUCUUUACCUCCGGACUAUUCCGGGGCUCCUCGUGACGUCCGGGAUCUCAUUCGGGACUCCGAAAAACCUUCUAUAAACUCGUACAACAAUUCCCUAUAACCCUAGCGUCAUCGAACCUUAAGUGUGUAGACACUACGGGUUCGGGAGGUAUGCAGACAUGACCGAGACACCUCUCCGGCCAAUAACCAUCAGCGGGAUCUGGAUACCCAUGAUGGUUCCCACAUGUUCCACGAUGAUCUCAUCGGAUGAACCACGAUGUCAAGGAUUCAAUCAAUCCCGUAUACAAUUCCCUUUGUCUAUCGGUAUAGAACUUGCCUGAGAUUCGAUCAUCGGUAUCCCUAUGCCUUGUUCAAUCUCGUUACCGACAAGUCUCUUUACUCGUUCCGUAGCACAUCAUCCCGUGACUAACUCCUUAGUCACAUUGAGCUCAUUGUGAUGAUGUUCUACCGAGUGGGCCCAGAGAUACCUCUCCGUCACACGGAGUGACAAAUCCCGAUCUCGAUUCGUACCAACCCAAGAGAUACUUUCGGAGAUACCUGUAGUGCCCCUUUAUAGUCACCCAGUUACAUUGUGACGUUUGAUACACCCAAAGCGCUCCUACGCUAUCCGGGAGUUGCACAAUCUCAUGGUCGAAGGAAAAGAUACUUGACAUUAGAAAAUAUUUAGCAUACGAACAACACGAUCUAGUGCUAUGCUUAGGAUUGGGUCUUGUCCAUCACAUCAUUCUCCCAAUGAUGUGAUCCCGUUAUCAAUGACAUCCAAUGUCCAUGAUCAGUAAACCAUGAUCAUCUAUUGAUCAACGUGCUAGCCAACUAGAGGCUUGCUAGGGACACAUUGUGAUUUAUUUAUUCACACAUGUAUUAUUAUUUCCUGUUAAUACAAUUAUAGCAUGAACAAUAGACGGUUAUCAUGAACAAGGAAAUAUGAUAAUAACCAUUUUAUUAUUGCCUCUAGGGCAUGAUGAUCCACAAGUGUAGGGGGUCUAUCAUAGUCCUUUCGAUAAGUAAGAGUGUCGAACCCAACGAGGAGUAGAAGGAACUAACAAGUGGUUUUCAGCAAGGUAUUCUCUGCAAGCACUGAAAUUAUCGGUAACAGAUAGUUGUGCGAUAACAUGAUUCGUAGCAAGUAGCAAGUAACAAUAGUAACAAAGGUGCAGCAAAGUGGCCCAAUCCCUUUUGUAGCAAGGGACAAGCCUGGACAAACUCCUAUAGGAGGUGAAGUGCUCCCGAGGACACAUGNNNNNNNNNNNNNNNNNNNNNNNNNNNNNNNNNNNNNNNNNNNNNNNNNNNNNNNNNNNNNNNNNNNNNNNNNNNNNNNNNNNNNNNNNNNNNNNNNNNNNNNNNNNNNNNNNNNNNNNNNNNNNNNNNNNNNNGCUCCCGAGGACACAUGUGAAUUUCUGUCAAGCUAGUUUUCGUCAUGUUCAUAUGAUUCGCGUUCGCUACUUUGAUAGUUUGGUAUGUGGGUGGACCGGUGCUUGGUGCUGCCCUUACUUGGAAAAACAUCCCACUUAUGAUUAACCCCUAUCGCAAGCAUCCGCAACUAUGAAAGAAGAAUUAAGACAAAGUCUAACCAUAGCAUUAAACUAGUGGAUCCAAAUCAGCCCCUUACGAAGCAACGCAUAAACUAGGGUUUUAGCUUCUGUCACUCUAGCAACCCAUCAUCUACUUACUACUUCCCAAUGCCUUCCUCUAGGCCCAAAUAAUGGUGAAGUAUUAUGUAGUCGACGUUCACAUAACACCACUAGAGGAAAAACAACAUACGACAUACCAAAUUACCAAACGAAUACCAAAUUCACAUGACUACUAUUAGCAUGACUUNNNNNNNNNNNNNCCCAAAUAAUGGUGAAGUGUUAUGUAUUCGACGUUCACAUAACACCACUAGAGGAAAAACAACAUACAACGCAUCAAAAUAUCGAACGAGUACCAAAUUCACGUGACUACUUAUAGCAAGACUUAUCCCAUAUCCUCAGGAACAAAAGUGACUACUCACAAAGCAUAAUUAUGUUCAUGACCAGAGAGGUAUUGAAUAGCAUUAGAGAUCUGAAUAUAUGAUCUUCCAUCGAGUAAUCCAACUAGCAUCAACUACAAAGAGUAAUUAACACUACUAGCAACCUUACAAGUACCAAUCGGAGUCGCGAGACGGAGAAUGGUUACAAGAGAUGAACUAGGGUUUGGAGAUGAGAUGGUGCUGAUGAAGAUGUUUCUGGUGAUGAGUCCCCUUCGAUGAGAUGAGUGUUUGUGAUGACGAUGGAAACUAUUUCCCCCUUCGGGAGGGAAGUUUCCCCGGCAGGAUGCCCUUGCCGGAGUUCUAGAUUGGUUCUGCUCAAGUUUCGCCUCGUGGCGGCGGCGAUUCCUCCCGGAAGCCUCCUCCUGAUUUUUUUCUGGAACGAAACCCUCCUUAUAGCAAAAGAUGGGAGCCGGAGGGGCAACAGGGGGCCCACAAUCCACCUAGGCGCGGCAAGGGGGGUAGGCCGCGCCUGACAGGCUUGUGGCCUCCUGGUGGCUCCCCUGUGGUACUUUUUCCGCCCAGUAUUUUUUAUAAAAUCCAAAAUACUUCCGCGUUGAUUUUCACGGCUUUUGGAGUUGCACAGAAUAGCUAUCUCAAACUUGCUCUUUUUUCACACCAGAAUUCCAGCUGUCGGCAUUCUCCCUCUUCAUGUAAACCUUAUAAAAUAAGAGAGAAAAUGCAUAAGUAUUGUACCGUGAAGUGUAAUAACAGCUCAUAAAGCGAUAAAUAUCAACAUAAAAGCAUGAUGCAAAAUGGACGUAUAACCUCCCCCAAGCUUAGACCUCGCUUGUCCUCAAGCGAAAGCCAAGAUCAAUAAAUAUGCCCACAUGUUUAGAGAUAGAGGUGUCGAUAAAACAAAAUACGGACAUGCAGGCAUCAUGAUCAUAAUUAGAACAACAAUAGCGUCAUAUAAACUCUUAUGCUAAAGUGACAAUUCCUUCACAAAGUAAAGUAUGGGUCAAGAACCUUAUUGAGAAUUAACAACCAAUAGCCUUUAGUCAUUGAAGCAAUUGCAAUUUAUCGUAACAUCGGAAAGAGUCAAAUAAGAGCUUGUAAAGCAAAUCCACAUACUCAAUCGUCCUUUCGUCUUCUACAAUUGCUAAAACUCUCGUGGUACUCAUAAGAUCAAAGUUUCAGUUGGACACAGAGAAAGAUAGGGGCUUAUAGUUUCGCCUCCCGACUACUUACCUCAAGGGUAAUGUCAACAAUAAUAAUUCAUGGAUACUUACUUCCAAGUUGACAUAUGAAUAUAGAUCUUUCCCUAGCAUACGGCGUUAGCCAAGAUAAAGGCGAAAUAACGAAUUGGUGUCGAUCACCAUGACUCUUUUAAGGACAAAAAGUAAAGGUACAAGAUAGGACCUUCGCAUAGGGAAACAGAGGUUGUCAUGCACUUUUGAGGUUUGGAUGUGUGAUCUCUUAGUGUGGAGGAACGUCACUUUAUAUUGCCUCCUGUGAUAAAGAACUUUAUUAUGCAGUCCGUCGCUUUUAUGUCUUCCUCAUCACAGGUUCGUACAAAGCUUAUUUUCCAUACACUAAUAGAUCAUACAUAUUUAGGGAGCAAUUUUUAUUGCUUGCACCCAUGACAACUUACUUGAGGGAUCUUAUUCAAUCCAUAGGUAGGUAUGGUGGACUCUCAAGGCAAAACUGGGUUGAAGGUUUAUGGAUGCACAAGUAGUAUCUCUACUUAGUGCGGAAGUUUUGGCUGAUAUGAGGUGGAAGCAAGCGUCACAUGCUAAGGGAUCUCUAGUCAUAUAACAUUGUUCGGAACCAAGCAAACAUAAUUCAUUAUGUUGUCUUCCUUGUCCAACAUCUACUUCUAAGCAUGUAACUGUUUAAUGAGUGUUCACAAUCAUAGAUGGUGCCCAAGAUGAUAUUUUUAUAUGUGAACCUCUCCUUCUUUAGUACUUCCUAUUAAUUGCAACAAUGACCAGGGUCUACGUUAGUCCACCCACAACAAGUUUCAAUCAUCAUUCUUUUUAUAUGUGAAGCCAUCACUUCCCAUAAGAUCAUUACAUGAUCUUUCAUGCUUUUGUUCUCUUAUUAUUCUUUUCUUUAGAUCAUGGCAUGAGGCAAGGACCUUCACUAAAUGACUCUUUAUUAUAUGACUCACAAGCUCGAAUACAUUGGGGGUAACACAAAGCAAAACUCAAGCCUAGAACACUAAGAACUUUAUUCUACUAGAGAAAGAUAAAACCAAAAAGGAUCGAACUAAGAAAAAGGUAAAGGCAAAAGAUGUGAUAGUGAUACGAUACCGGAGCAACUCCCCAAGCUUGGCACAAGCCAAGAGGAGUGCCCAUACCCGUGCUUAAAUGUCUUCCUUCGAAGGUGACGGUGGUGGAGUUGUUGCAAUCUGGGGUUGAUUCUCCGUCUUCCAAGGCAUAGGUGCUCCAUCAUGGAAAGAUGAUCGAGUCUCCGGAAUCCUCAAAUGUGCAGCCAACCGUAUUGAUUUAAAUCUAUACUCAUACUCACAAUUUUGGUUCUGCAGGUCGUAGAUCUAGGCUUGGAGGUGAUCAAUUCUGUCAUAGAGCCUGGAGAGGUGCUUCCCGAUGUCAUUGGCAUCAAUCUUGUGCUUGUUGGUGAACUCCGUGAUCAUCAUGUGGUUGGCGUUGAGUCCGCGUUCCCCCAUCCAUUGGCACUUGAAGACUUGCUGCUCCAUUGCUUCGAGCCUCGCCUCCACGCUUCCGGUCUUCUUGGGCUCCUCAACAUCACGGAUGUGCAUCACCCCCUCAUGCAUCUCGAUAGAUUGAGGGUGUUGCAGCACGCCCGCGAGGUAGGGAUUGAUGACCUUCUCGAAGAACUUGUCCUUCAGAACUUUUGGGGAUGCCAUAGUGAUCUAGAUCUGUCUGCAUAGUAGCUCGAAACGAAAACAGAUGAUAUUUGCGCGAUACGAGGGUCAGACCUUCCGGGAGAAUAUAUAAUGUUGUUUUCCCGGCCAAAAGGAGUACUCCCCAAGAAAACGGAGUCCGGGAGGCACACGACGUGCCCACAAGCUACCCAGGCGCGGCCAGGGGGUAGGCCGCGCCUAGCAGGCUUGUCGCCUCCUCGUGCGCUUUCCGGACUACUUUAAAUUUUUCUAUUUUUCUAAAAAUUCGAAAACGGAGAAAAAUUGCUACUGGAAAAGUUUUGGAGUCGGUUUACUUACCGAAUCACAUACCUCUUCGUUUUUGGAGUCUGAAACGGGCUAAUAAAUAUCCCUUAUGUACUCCUCCAGAGUUAUGGUAUUAAUAAUAUUGCUUUCAACUUUAUGGGAGUACCUGAGAUAUAAUGCUUGAUUGUUUGCCCAUUCACCACUCUCGGAAAAUUACCUUCAGUGUUGUUGAUCUUGAUGGCACCGGAACGAUAUACUUCCUCAACAAUGUAAGGACCUUCCCAUUUAGAGAGAAGCUUGCCUGCAAAAAAACUUAAACGAGAAUUGUAUAGCAAGACAUAAUCACCUACAUUGAACUCACGUUUUUGUAUCCUUUUAUCAUGCCACCUCUUAACCUUUUCUUUGAACAACUUGGCAUUUUCAUAUGCCCGAGUUCUCCAUUCAUCAAGUGAGCUAAUAUAAAAUAACCUGUUCUCACCAGCAAGAUUGAAAUCAAAGUUGAGCUCUUUGAUUGCCCAAUAAGCCUUAUGCUCUAGCUCAAGAGGUAAAUGACAUGCUUUACCAUAAACCAUUUUGUACAAAGACAUGCCCAUGGGAUUCUUAUAAGCAGUUCUAUAAGCCCACAGUGCAUCAUCAAGCUUCUUAGACCAAUUUUUUCUAGACCUAUUAACAGUCUUUUGCAGAAUUAGUUUAAUCUCUCUAUUACUUAUCUCUACUUGACCACUGGACUGAGGAUGAUAGGGAAAUGCAAUUCUAUGGUUGACGUCAUACUUAGCAAGCGUUAUAUGGAAAGCACAAUGAAUAAAAUGUGAACUACCAUCAGUCACUAGAUAUCUAGGGACUCCAAAUCUAGGGAAAGUAACUUCUUUAAGCAUCCUAAUAGAGGUGUUAUGAUCAUCACUACUAGUUGGGAUAGCUUCUACCCACUUAGUAACGUAAUCAACAGCAACUACAAUAUGAGUAUACCCGUUGGACUUUGGAAAAGGUCCCAUAUAAUCAAAACCCCAAACAUCAAAUGGUUCAAUGACAAGUGAAUAAUGCAUAGGCAUCUCCUGACAUUUAUUGAUAUUACCUCUUCUUUGACAUUCAUCACAAGACAAGACAAACUUACGGGCAUCCUUGAAGAGAGUAGGCCAAUAGAAACCUGAUUGCAAUACCUUGUGUGCAGUUCUAUCUCCCGCAUGGUGUUCUCCGUAAGCCUCGGAGUGACACUUCUGUAGGAUCUGUCUCUGUUCAUGCUCAGGUACACAACGUCUAAUAACACCAUCUACUCCUUCCUUAUAAAGGUGAGGAUCAUCCCUAAUUAAUGUCUCAAAUCAAAGAAGAAUUUCUUCUUUUGCUGGUUGAUAUGUCUCCAUCGUAUCUACUUUUCCAAACUCUUUUGCCCUUGUUUUGGACUCUAAUCUGCAUGAUUUGAAUGGAACUAACCCAGACUAACGUUGUUUUCAGCAGAAUUGCCAUGGUGUUGUUUUUGUGCAGAAAUGAAAGUUCUCGGAACGUCCUCAAAAUUUACGGAGAAGUUUUCUGGAAAAUAUGAAAAAUACCUGCGCAAAGAUCCACCGGAGGGGAUGGGCCAGUGGGCCACAAGCCGUGUUGCCGCGGCCACCCCCCUAGCCGAGACAACCAAGCUAGUGGGGCCCAUGUGGCUCUGCCGCCCCCAACUCUAGCUCUAUAAAUUCACUUUCGCCCAGAAAAAAAUCAGAAGAGAAGAUUUCGUCGCGUUUGUGAUACGGGGGCGCCGCCACAUCCUGUUCUUCAUCUGGAGGACAGAUCAGGAGUCCGUUUUGGGCUCCUUAGAGGGGAAAUCGUCACCAUCGUCAUCAUCAAUCGUCUUCCCUCUCCAAUUCCAUGAAGCUCUUCAUUGUUCGUGAGUAAUCUAUUCGUAGGCUCGCUGGGCGGUGAUGAGUAGGAUGAGAUCUAUCAUGUAAUCGAGUUAGUUUUGACGGGGAUUGAUCCCUAGUAUCCACUAUGUUCUGAGAUUGAUGUUGCUACUACUUUGCCAUGCUUAAUGCUUGUCACUAGGGCCCGAGUGCCAUGAUUUCAGAUCUGAAAUUAUUAUGUUGUCACCAAUAUAUGUGUGUUUUAGAUCCGAUCUUGCAAGUUGUAGUUACCUACUAUGUGUUAUGACCCGGCAACCCCGGAGUGACAAUAACCGGAACCACUCCCGGUGAUGACCAUAGUUUGAGGAGUUCAUGUGUUCACCAAGUGCUAAUACGUUGUUCCGGUCCUUUAUUAAAAGGAGAACCUUAAUAUCCUGUAGUAUCCUUUUGGACCCCGCUGCCACGGGAGGGAUGGACAAUAGAUGGCAUGCAAGUUCUUUUCCCUAAGCACGCAUGACUACACACGGAAUGCAUGCCUACAUCACAUUGACGAACAGGAGCUAGCCACAUAUAUCUCCGUGUUAUAACUGUUGCAUGAUGAAUAUCAUCCAAACGAAUCACCGACGCAUUGCCUACGAGUUUGUCCCACUAUUGUUGUUACUAAUGUUGUUGCUAUUGUUACUUGCCACUGUUGUUACUUGCUACUGUUGCUACUUGCUACUAUUGUCACUACUGAUGUUCCUUGCCACUGCUGCUACUCAUUACACUGCUACUACCUGCUACAAUACUAGUUCCACGAUGUUGACGGGGAAGAAUAUUUCCCGUCCACUGGCAACUUCUGGCGCCAUUGAUACCACAGUUAGGAAUAGUCUGCCUUGUCACCAGAUCGUUUCUGACACCGUUCUUAUCAUACUACUUUGCUGCUGAUACUUUGCUUGCACAUACUAAUCUUUCAGGUGUGGUUGAAUCUAACAUAUUCAGGUGCUAAUACGCGAGAGUAUCCUCUCACCUCUUGCCUGGCGAAUCAACAAAUUUGGGUCGAAUACUCUACCCUCGAAAACUGCCGCGAACCCACGCGCUGGUGGGCCAUUGCAAGACAAUUGCUAAUUGUUGAGCAACUGGGAGCAGUUUUGGCUCUGUUGUCGCGAAGGUAGCAAGCUAGGGACUCAUCAACAACAUUCUUCUAGUGUCGUUGCCGAGGACUGCCGUUAGCAGCAUUUUUCUGGCGCCGUUGCCGGGGAGGUAUUGCUAUAUUCUCUGAGUCACUUGGGAUUUAUAUCUUCUGAUCACUAUGAAGAAUCUAAAAGAUCCAAAAACCAAAGUCUUGCCCUCAACUAUGAGGGGAGGUAAGGAACUGCCAUCUAGCUCUGCACUUGAUUCACCUUCAGUUAUGGGUAAGUUUGCGACAUCACCUCCUCCUA